Molecule: non-coding RNA, 28 nt
Filed under: Homo sapiens (human)
Lineage: Eukaryota; Metazoa; Chordata; Mammalia; Primates; Hominidae
Source: RNAcentral
UGCGCCUCUGGAGGUGGGAGGUGGGAUC